This 253-nucleotide ribosomal RNA is filed under the name uncultured bacterium. RNAcentral's name for it is "partial 16S ribosomal RNA". It matches the Rfam family "Bacterial small subunit ribosomal RNA", at positions 524 to 776 of the family's 1533-position model. The record is from RNAcentral.
UACGUAGGGCGCAAGCGUUGUCCGGAAUUAUUGGGCGUAAAGAGCUCGUAGGCGGUUUGUCGCGUCUGUCGUGAAAGCUUGGGGCUUAACCCCAAGUCUGCGGUGGAUACGGGCGGACUAGAGUUCGGUAGGGGAGACUGGAAUUCCUGGUGUAGCGGUGAAAUGCGCAGAUAUCAGGAGGAACACCGGUGGCGAAGGCGGGUCUCUGGGCCGAUACUGACGCUGAGGAGCGAAAGCGUGGGGAGCGAACAGG